Molecule: ribosomal RNA, 301 nt
Filed under: uncultured bacterium
Lineage: Bacteria
Description: partial 16S ribosomal RNA
Rfam family: Bacterial small subunit ribosomal RNA
Source: RNAcentral
CAGUAGCCGCGGUAAUACGGAGGGGGCUAGCGUUGUUCGGAAUUACUGGGCGUAAAGCGCACGUAGGCGGCUUGGUAAGUUAGAGGUGAAAGCCCGGAGCUCAACUCCGGAAUUGCCUUUAAGACUGCCGAGCUAGUAGGUGAGAGAGGUAAGUGGAAUUCCGAAUGUAGAGGUGAAAUUCGUAGAUAUUCGGAAGAACACCAGUGGCGAAGGCGGCUUACUGGCUCAUUCUAGACGCUGAGGUGCGAAAGCGUGGGGAGCAAACAGGAUUAGAUACCCCCGUAGUCCCUGUCUCUUAUAC